This 251-nucleotide ribosomal RNA is filed under the name uncultured bacterium. Its description in RNAcentral is "partial 16S ribosomal RNA". It matches the Rfam family "Bacterial small subunit ribosomal RNA", at positions 15 to 244 of the family's 1533-position model. The record is from RNAcentral.
GAUCCUGGCUCAGGAUGAACGCUAGCGGCAGGCUUAACACAUGCAAGUCGAGGGGCAGCAUAAUGGAUAGCAAUAUCUAUGGUGGCGACCGGCGCACGGGUGCGUAACGCGUAUGCAACCUACCUUUAACAGGGGGAUAACACUGAGAAAUUGGUACUAAUACCCCAUAAUAUCAUAGAAAGGACGAUCUUUUAUUUGGUUUGGUAAAAUUAACCGUACUGGUUAGGUAGAUGGGCGAUGCGUUGUAUUAG